GAAGAGUGAACAGCAAAACGAAAANANAAAAUCACAAAUGGGUGCUAAUUGUGAUAACGUAAGGGAAAAAAUUGAUAUUACCUUACUAUAAGUGUUGUCUAAAUAACUGGUGCCAGAAGACUCGGUAACACCAGAAACGCGAACGUUAUUCGUCUUAAACAGGCGUAAAGGGUAAGUAGGCUGCUUUAAAUUCUAUAAUUAAAAAAGCUAAAAAUAAAAUUUCCGCUAGUAGUCCUUAGGGACAAGUAGCAGCAACUAAAAGUUUAUCAAACCUUAAAAAAUAAAUUAAGGAUAAUAAAAAUGAAAAUAGUCGCAUUAGAUAAAUUAUUUAAAAAUAGAAACACUUAAAGCUAGAAUCAUAUUUGAGAUAAACCAAAUAAUACUUAAGUGUAAGGGCGAUAUCUUAAAAUACUAAGUAGAAUACUAACGGUGAAAACUUUUUAUCUGGUAAUGAUUGACGCUGAGGUACGAAAGUGAGAACAGGGAAUAGGAUGUGCGACUUGAAAGCUUAAGUAAUGUAUAGAAUACUAAGAAUACAUUAUCAUUCGUCUGAUAAUAGCCAACCUAAACGUGCAUAAAUAGUAAUGGUUAUGUGUGAAGCUUUAGGGAAAGUUAAUUAUGGUUAUGCACCUAUAUAUAUGAAUAUAUAUCAAUUUAACGAAGCUGAUUUCAAUGGUAGGAACCAACUAUGUAAUAAACNAUAUAGGCAUA
RNAcentral lists this ribosomal RNA (711 nucleotides) under Inocybe vulpinella. The record is from RNAcentral. Lineage: Eukaryota; Fungi; Basidiomycota; Agaricomycetes; Agaricales; Inocybaceae.